ACUUAAAUCCACACCACCCUGAACGCACCCAUUCUGAUCUUGGAAGCAAAGCAGGGUUGGGCGUGGUUAGUACUUGGGUGGGAGACUGCCUGGGAAUACUGGGUGCUGUAGGCU
Ribosomal RNA from Bison bison bison, 114 nucleotides. Lineage: Eukaryota; Metazoa; Chordata; Mammalia; Artiodactyla; Bovidae. The record is from Ensembl.